Molecule: ribosomal RNA, 477 nt
Filed under: uncultured bacterium
Lineage: Bacteria
Description: partial 16S ribosomal RNA
Rfam family: Bacterial small subunit ribosomal RNA
Source: RNAcentral
AUUGAACGCUGGCGGCAUGCCUUACACAUGCAAGUCGAACGGUAACAGGUUAAGCUGACGAGUGGCGAACGGGUGAGUAAUACAUCGGAACGUGCCCAGUAGUGGGGGAUAGCCCGGCGAAAGCCGGAUUAAUACCGCAUACGACCUAAGGGUGAAAGGGGGGGAUCGCAAGACCUCUCGCUAUUGGAGCGGCCGAUGUCAGAUUAGCUAGUUGGUGGGGUAAAAGAUCACCAAGGCGACGAUCUGUAGCUGGUCUGAGAGGACGACCAGCCACACUGGGACUGAGACACGGCCCAGACUCCUACGGGAGGCAGCAGUGGGGAAUUUUGGACAAUGGGCGCAAGCCUGAUCCAGCCAUGCCGCGUGCGGGAAGAAGGCCUUCGGGUUGUAAACCGCUUUUGUCAGGGAAGAAAUCCUUUGGGUUAAUACCUCGGGGGGAUGACGGUACCUGAAGAAUAAGCACCGGCUAACUACGUG